This 233-nucleotide ribosomal RNA is filed under the name uncultured bacterium. RNAcentral's name for it is "partial 16S ribosomal RNA". It matches the Rfam family "Bacterial small subunit ribosomal RNA", at positions 15 to 240 of the family's 1533-position model. The record is from RNAcentral.
GAUCCUGGCUCAGGAUGAACGCUAGCUAUAGGCUUAACACAUGCAAGUCGAGGGGCAGCGGGAUUGAAGCUUGCUUCAAUUGCCGGCGACCGGCGCACGGGUGAGUAACGCGUAUCCAACCUUCCGCAUACUCGGGGAUAGCCUUCUGAAAAGGAGAUUAAUACCCGAUGGUAUCAAGAGAUUGCAUGAUAACUUGAUUAAAGAAUUUCGGUAUGCGAUGGGGAUGCGUUCCA